This 393-nucleotide ribosomal RNA is filed under the name uncultured bacterium. RNAcentral's name for it is "bacterial SSU rRNA". It matches the Rfam family "Bacterial small subunit ribosomal RNA", at positions 360 to 770 of the family's 1533-position model. The record is from RNAcentral.
AAUUUUCCACAAUGGGCGAAAGCCUGAUGGAGCAACGCCGCGUGCAGGAUGAAUGCCUUAGGGUUGUAAAGCUCUUUUACCCGGGAUGAUAAUGACAGUACCGGGAGAAUAAGCUCCGGCUAACUCCGUGCCAGCAGCCGCGGUAAUACGGAGGGAGCUAGCGUUGUUCGGAAUUACUGGGCGUAAAGCGCACGUAGGCGGCUUUUCAAGUCAGGGGUGAAAUCCCGGGGCUCAACCCCGGAACUGCCUCUGAAACUGGAUGGCUAGAAUCUUGGAGAGGCGAGUGGAAUUCCGAGUGUAGAGGUGAAAUUCGUAGAUAUUCGGAAGAACACCAGUGGCGAAGGCGACUCGCUGGACAAGUAUUGACGCUGAGGUGCGAAAGCGUGGGGAGCA